This 76-nucleotide transfer RNA is filed under the name Agaricus bisporus var. burnettii JB137-S8. Its description in RNAcentral is "tRNA-Und (NNN) (tRNA-Und-NNN-4-1)". Lineage: Eukaryota; Fungi; Basidiomycota; Agaricomycetes; Agaricales; Agaricaceae. The record is from RNAcentral.
AACGCUAUGGCUCAGUGGUCUAAGCGCCUAACGCAGCUCGGUCAAGAGGCAGCGGGUUCGACUCCCGUCUGCGUUG